AUGAUGGACUGCAGGAGAGGACUGCUGCUUCUAACUGUCUUCUGGGCAGGUGUUGAUGGUCAGACUCUGACAGAAUCUGAACCAGCAGUUAAAAGACCUGGAGAAUCCCACAGACUGACAUGUACAGCCUCUGGAUUCUCAUUCAGCAGCUUUGAAAUGAACUGGGUCAGACAGGCUCCUGGAAAAGGACUGGAGUGGGUUGCUUAUAUCAAUAGUGGUGGUGGUAGCAAACACUACUCUCAGUCAGUACAAGGCCGGUUUACCAUCUCCAGAGACAACAGCAGACAGCAGCUGUAUCUGCAGAUGAACAGUCUGAGGACUGAAGAUUCUGCUGUUUAUUAUUGUGCUAGAGAAAAUCUGAAUUAA
Non-coding RNA from Oreochromis aureus, 366 nucleotides. The record is from the annotation of a RefSeq genome assembly. Lineage: Eukaryota; Metazoa; Chordata; Actinopteri; Cichliformes; Cichlidae.